AACGUAGGAGACAAACGUUAUCCGGAGUUACUGGGCGUAAAGGGCGCGUAGGCGGCCUUGCAAGUGACGGGUGAAAUCCCUCGGCUUAACCGAGGAACUGCCUGUCAGACUGCAUGGCUUGAGACCAGGAGAGGUGAGUGGAAUUCCCAGUGUAGCGGUGAAAUGCGUAGAUAUUGGGAGGAACACCAGUGGCGAAGGCGGCUCACUGGACUGGUACUGACGCUGAUGCGCGAAAGCGUGGGGAGCAAACAGG
RNAcentral lists this ribosomal RNA (253 nucleotides) under uncultured bacterium. Its description in RNAcentral is "partial 16S ribosomal RNA". It matches the Rfam family "Bacterial small subunit ribosomal RNA", at positions 524 to 776 of the family's 1533-position model. The record is from RNAcentral.